AGGUGAAGAUGAGAGUCCAUCCAUUUCACAUCAAACUCAAGUUAGUCUCCAAUCUCUAGCAGGUACACAUUAACCAUGUAAGCAGAAACUCAUCUAAACAAGCCUGAAACUGGCUCUUGGAAAAGGAGAAAAAUAUCACCUUCUUAAGGUAUUAAGCUUUUUGCAUUAUCAGAUGGCCAAGCCAUGACGAGGCUUUAGAAGGAGAACAAGAUUUCCCUGGGUCAUUUUCUUCAAGGCUGGAAAAUGAGGUGAGGCAAGAUGUGUAGGUGAAGAUGAGAGUCCAUCCAUUUCACAUCAAAUUCAAGUUAGUCUCCAAUCUCUAGCAGGUACACAUUAACCAUGUAAGCAGAAACUCAUCUAAACAAGCCUGAAACUGGCUCUUGGAAAAGGAGAAAAAUAUUACCUUCUUAAGGCAUUAAGCUUUUUGCAUUAUCAGAUAGCUAAGCCAUGACAAGGCUUUAAACUUUCACUCCUAUAUGUAGCACAAAACUGGAGCAGCAAUUGAGGGAGAAGUCAUUUGAUUUAUUUAAUUUUUAUUCUCUCUUAUUCCUCGCCUGCUAGUAUUAUAGAAACAAGCUUCUGUAGUCCCAGUCUGUAACCUUUCUAACUGGACCCUAUUGAUGAAAAAAGAAAACAAAAUGUAACUGGACUCAUUUACAUAGAAAGCCAUAUUUUUUGCAAAUCAUAUAUGGUAAGUAUUUCAAAUUUAAAUUUUGAUUCAACUGAAGUUAUCAACUAUUUCCUAAAUCCUAAGAACAUUAUUAGUUGUCAUGCUAGAUUGGUCUCUAAAUCAGCCACACAAGAUAUUAAUUAGAGUAAACCAAUCUAGGAAGAUUAUUAUGUUUUGACCAAAUUGCCUUCAGCUGGGUUCUAGUCUUCUGCAAUCAGGCUAAGCCUGGGUUCAAAAUUGGUGGGUUAAAGCAGGGGGAUCAAAUAGUUUUAUCUCAUUAAUUAUAAAUAAGUUUCAAGAAAAAAUAGAAUUAUUUAAAAAGCCGCAUAAACUCAUUUGGAGACCAAACAGGGCCUAGUUUCCUCUCUGCUGUCCCUUCUCCACAGCGAAUCUUAACCGGUUACACUGACAUUAUAACCGGGUACUCCGGAUUUCACGUAGACCCGAAAAGCCAGGCCGGAGCCGGUUCAGAUCGGUCCACAAAGUUGAACCCGGCCUCAGUAUGUCGGCAAUCGGCUGGCCGACUUAACCCUGUAAAUAGCCAACCUGGGUUCUCCAAUCUCUACGUUCGCACCUUUUCUCCAUGGCUUCUUCCCCUUCGAUCAAAACCCUCAAAACCGUAACGCUCGGAGGAUUCUUGGAUCAAAAUCGGGGAGGCAGCGGCAGAGGCUGCCGGUGUACGACUGUCGACCACCCAAGUACCACAGGGUCUUGAAGGUGUUGGGCUAAUGGUGGUCAAGUUUAUAGCUUUCGCCCAGCCAAUUUGAUUGGCUGUUAAGUCUGUUUCCUCACUACUAACUGAAUAGAUGGGUAUCAAACUUGGUGAAAGGGUUGGAUAUAGCACUAUUCAUUUGCAACAUCAAACAGAUCUGGUAUGGCCUCUUUCCUUUUCUGGCCAUUGGAAUCUUUAGUUGAAUAUUGCUUGAAAUUCAGCAGCAUCUAGGUUGUAUUAUUAUUAGACUAUUCUAAUGGACACAAGGUUGUUAGCUUUCUUGUUCACUUGGGGUAUGGUUGACGAGGAAUUUUCUCCUAGUUUGCUUUUCUCUCUCCAUAUGUAUUAUUGCUAUGUGAGCAACAUCAUAUUUCUAACUGAUGGGUUGUUGCUUUGAGAAAUGAUGGAUGAUCGUCUUCCGAUCGGCUAUAGGUAUUUGUUACAAUUCAAAUAUGAUGCUUUCCUUUCUCAUAUAUUGUUUAGUUGGCGAAGUGAGAAAUGCAUUAUUCUGAAUCUUUCUUAAUUAUCUCUAUUAAUCAUGUAUAAAAUUCAUGACCAAACUAGACUCAUCCUAACUACCAUGGUGGCUCUAUGAGUUCUUCUUCACCCAUACUUUUAAGGGACUGCAUACACUGUCAAUGCCAGUCUCUCUGUCCUUUAAUGUAAAAACUGAGCCACAUGCCCUUGGUAUUCAUUUCUCAUUCGGAUGCAUUUUUACUCACUGUAGCUCCGCAUUUUCCUUAAUUGUCACGUCACCUUUACAAAUGCAUCAUGUCUAACACCUUACGUCAGCACGUCGCUACAUAUUGUACUUACCAUUUUACAAUUUUUGGUGCUCAUCUUCUGUGCUUGUCUCUUAUUCGUAGCCUAACAUUUUGAUGCAUACAACAAUUUGGUUCUUACUACUGCAUUGGUGUUUUUUUUGGAACAAAUCUCAAAGGCAUAGAAUGGUGAUAUAACACUAUGGGCAUCUUGAAUGUUGCUCUUUUAUUUGCUAGAUGAGCUAAGUAAUUGUAGAAGUUUAUCAUGCUAGCAACACCAUGAUUUGGUAGAUUUUCUUUGCAGAAUGUCUCUUGAUUUCACCUUUUCAAGCAUAUGAACUACUCUUUUGUUUGGCAUCAGAAACUACUCCUUCCUUUUCUUGGUUUUGGACGGUUUUGAGCAAUUUGUUCAUUAAUCCUUUAUCUGUUUUUUAUGUUGUCUUGUAUUGGUGUCACAAUGGUACGAUGAGGUUCAUGAAAGAUCUAUUUCAACAGACAUGCUAGCUGGCCUCUUGAGAAUGGGUGAUUGGGAGGCCUUCAGAAUUUGCAUGUACUAGAAGAAGGCAGUCCUGUGUUGGAGAUUAUGAAUUAUGAGCUCAAAAUGGAAGGAAAAGACGAUAUGUACAGAGACUCACUUUAUACAAAAAACUGAAAAGGACCUUUUUGGUACGAAUUCAGCUCCAAAUAGCUUUAACAAUGUGAGAAGGAAUAAGUAUCUGUUUCAAGGAAUUAUUCAAAUAUGCUGGUUAAAAUUAUUCAGGAACCAAAGAUGCCAUAAUGUCACUCAUCAGAUGCAACUGCUGACCCUGCUGACGGUGUUGCAAGAUUGUCGAAAGGAGUCAUGUUUCCGACCACUGAUAACUAUUUAAUUGUUUGACUGCCGCCGGUGCUGUCAAACGACCAUAUCAUGAAACCAUGAGUAAAUGGUCUUCUUCCCUUGUAAUCUCACUUUGUAUCUAGUAAAUUGUUUAUUGUUGCUAGAUGAGACAGACUAGAUCUUGGUGAUUAGUUGCUGGAAAAAUUUAUGGUACUAUUAGGAUAUCGUAGAUUUGAUAUUUAGAUCUGGUCUUGUUAUAGGUCAAGGUAAAGAAUCUGCUUCCAGGUGCAGCGUGCAAACCCUUUUGAGUGCGAAAGAACAUGGGAAAUUAAAUGAUCCUCUAGUACUUGUGCCCAUUAUAUGAGAGUUACUAUUCAAUGGUUGAACGUAUUCCGCAGAUAAAGUCUGAAUCAUAGUGUGUCUGGAUCAGUUACCUUGUGCCCAUUAUAUGAGAGUUAUUAUUCAAUGAUCCUGUAUCAGUUACCGUGUCUAUAUGGUUGGUGCGGCAAGUAAAAGACUUCUCAGGGGUACGUGAUGGUAUCAGUUCAGCAUUGUUGUGCAAUGCUCUUCAUUAGUUGUAGAUGUGCAAUAACUAUUUGUAUCGAUGAUACUAUAUGGUUCCAACUUUGUUGCUUUUAACGCGCACAUUAGCAUCUCUGCAUGAUAAAAAGACUGCCCUAGACAGCAACAGAUAUUCAUGCCAGGUGCGUUAGUGCUUCACAAUAUAUUCAAAUUCUGGAAGCGUUGUAUUUAUGUAAUACAAAGUGAUCAAUGUAUCACACAGGAGGAGAGGUAAGAAAUAAGCAGCCCUUCGUUUCUUCAUAUGUAACACGUUGGAUCUCAUGGAAUUUUAGAUUCUUUUAAUAGGUGAUAAUGAGCACCUGGCAUAUUUGUAA
Molecule: non-coding RNA, 3856 nt
Organism: Phoenix dactylifera (date palm)
Lineage: Eukaryota; Viridiplantae; Streptophyta; Magnoliopsida; Arecales; Arecaceae
Source: RefSeq, a predicted model, not a curated record